Molecule: long non-coding RNA, 786 nt
Filed under: Homo sapiens (human)
Lineage: Eukaryota; Metazoa; Chordata; Mammalia; Primates; Hominidae
Description: HSALNT0379817
Source: RNAcentral
UAGAAGACAAUUAAGCCCCCAGCCCCCCACUCGAUGCUGUGGUAACAAGCAUUCUUGCUCUGCGGCCAACCUCAUACCCUGUAUGCAGCUUGUAUCCUGCCUUUUCCCCUUUUAGAAACUCUUGGCCAAAUAAUCUUAACCAUAAGCAUAGUAUUUCAUAUUAAAAUUUUGUUGGUUUUCUUUUAAAACAUUGUUUUUAAUAUCUUUUGCCAGGUCAGCUUCAAUAAGAUAUAAUUGUACCCAAUGAAGGUCAUCACUUUCAGGAAGCAUCUGGACGAACAGUCCUGCCACGCUCUUUGAAGUUCCCGACACAUGGUAACCAAGACCUGAGGGCAGCAAACCGCUGGUGCUGUCUCUGUGAGCAAGAGCCGGGUGGCACAUUUGGAAGCCAUACUGUAUUUAACUUAAUCAAAUGUGGUAUGGGAGGGGUUGGAAACCAAGUUGUCUCCUGGGGGGAAGAAAAGACAGGUUUUAUUUUUGUGGCUGUGUUUUUUUCCCUUUUUAAUCUAACUGCCUGUUGAUGUUGACACUCAUCAGGGUUGUAGGCUGUCAUGAAUGUGUACGUGCUUAACCAGUGAAUUCCAUGUUGCUCGUGUGAGGCCUUUCCUGUCAUGACCCACUGUGCUUAAGAACCUGCCUGAUGGGGAGUGUCGGCUGUGAAAUCUGCAAAAAGAGCUGACGUUCCGGCUGCCGUGAUCAUGAAUUGGGGGUGUACUCUCCUGCCUGUGCAUCUUCUCGCGCUGAGAUUUUGAGGCGGUUGCAGCCCUCGGUUAGUCUCCCAGUGGA